AAAAAUUAUAGAACCGUUUUGCAAGUUCCUACUUUGUAAGUACAAAUCCCUUCGACCUGAUUAUGCCGCCGCUUCGUGGCUGAUUUUCCAUUGAAUCGCAAAACUCCGAUCCAAGUAUAAUACCCAAAUCGACGCAUCUUAUCUUCUUAAGCUGAUCUCUCCAACUACUCCAUUCUCACAGAACAACCCAAACCCUAGCUCGCUUCAGUUGUCAUCAUCAUGGGUGACUACAACGAUGCCUUCAUGCGCAACCAAAACGCUGCCGUUCGCGGCACCACCAAGGGCCAGAACCGCGCUAAUGUUCUCCAGCUCAAACUGAUUGGGCAAAGCCACCCGACUGGUUUAACAGCUAAUUUGUUGAAACUAUUUGAGCCUCGACCUCCACUGGAUUUUAAACCCCCUCCAGAGAAGAGAAAAUGCC
This 421-nucleotide unclassified non-coding RNA is filed under the name Hevea brasiliensis (rubber tree). The record is from RNAcentral. Lineage: Eukaryota; Viridiplantae; Streptophyta; Magnoliopsida; Malpighiales; Euphorbiaceae.